This 658-nucleotide long non-coding RNA is filed under the name Equus asinus (donkey). RNAcentral's name for it is "lncRNA (ENSEASG00005037272.1)". The record is from RNAcentral. Lineage: Eukaryota; Metazoa; Chordata; Mammalia; Perissodactyla; Equidae.
AUGAUACUAGUCACGAGUGAGUGUGAGGAACACUACAAGAUAGGUUUACUCAGAAGUUGUUUAUUUGAAGAAGACACAUUUAUUUGGUCUGGAGAAAGAAAAUCUGGCUGAGGUGAAAAUCCCUGAGCUGGCUCCAAGGCUCCCUGAAAGGAACAGCAAGUGUAUCAUCAGAUAACCGCCACCCAGCGAUCCCCUGGGAGCGCCCCUUGACCUUUUACCAAAGAUGGACCCACUACAUUCAAGGUCUCUUAUUCCCCCAGCAGUGCUGUUCUAGGUUAAUGCUAUUUUGGGAGCGUGGUUCUUCAUUUCAGUGUGAAUUUCCUCAUCUUUCCGCACAAAUUGAGUGAAAUCCUUAGUGCAUUUUUCUCUUAGAUGGAUGGAGGCUAAAAGAGAAUGGAAGGCCUCCAGCUGUUUGAGGCUCUGUCCUCAACGACAAUCAAAAUUCUCCAUCUUUUCUUGUUCUUGGCACUUUCUGAUUGAAAUAAGAUUCCAGCAUUUAUCUGCACCUGCAAUUUUGACAAGAAAGGAAAAUUUAAAAGACAAGUGAAAGAAUUCUCUGAGGGAAGUCAAUGAGUCGACAGUAGUCAGACGCCUGCGAAUCUCUUUUUGCAUUCCUCCGUCAAUUAAGCUACAGUCACAUAUUGGAGAGCAGAACUUA